Molecule: ribosomal RNA, 449 nt
Filed under: uncultured bacterium
Lineage: Bacteria
Description: partial 16S ribosomal RNA
Rfam family: Bacterial small subunit ribosomal RNA
Source: RNAcentral
AACGAACGCUGGCGGCAGGCUUAACACAUGCAAGUCGAACGCAUCCUUCGGGGUGAGUGGCAGACGGGUGAGUAACGCGUGGGAACGUGCCCUUCAGUUCGGGAUAACCCAGGGAAACUUGGGCUAAUACCGGAUACGUGCGAGAGCAGAAAGGUUUAUCGCUGAAGGAUCGGCCCGCGUCUGAUUAGCUAGUUGGUGGGGUAAUGGCCCACCAAGGCGACGAUCAGUAGCUGGGCUGAGAGGAUGAUCAGCCACAUUGGGACUGAGACACGGCCCAAACUCCUACGGGAGGCAGCAGUGGGGAAUAUUGGACAAUGGGCGCAAGCCUGAUCCAGCCAUGCCGCGUGAGGGAUGAAGGCCUUAGGGUUGUAAAGCUCUUUCGUCCGGGACGAUAAUGACGGUACCGGAAGAAGAAGCCCCGGCUAACUUCGUGCCAGCCGCCGCGGUAA